UCCCAUCCACUGACAGACCUUCAACAGUUCUUCUGGUUUGCACUAGGAUGCCAAAGAAAAUGUUCCCGGUGCUUCCUGCCUGUCUUUGUAGCAGUCCAGAUUGAAUUGGGGAGUACAUAU
Molecule: small nucleolar RNA, 120 nt
Organism: Cricetulus griseus (Chinese hamster)
Lineage: Eukaryota; Metazoa; Chordata; Mammalia; Rodentia; Cricetidae
Product: small nucleolar RNA SNORA31
Source: Ensembl